Molecule: ribosomal RNA, 217 nt
Filed under: uncultured bacterium
Lineage: Bacteria
Description: partial 16S ribosomal RNA
Rfam family: Bacterial small subunit ribosomal RNA
Source: RNAcentral
UACGUAGGGUGCAAGCGUUAAUCGGAAUUACUGGGCGUAAAGCGUGCGCAGGCGGUUUGUAAGUCUGUCGUGAAAUCCCCCGGGCUCAACCUGGGGAAUUGGCGAUGGAGACUGCAAGGCUAGAAUCUGGCAGAGGGGGGUGAGAAUUCCACGUUCGUAGCAGUGAAAUGCGUAGAGAUGGUGGAGGAACACCGAUGGCGAAGGCAGCCCCCUGGGU